UUAGUGGCGAACGGGUGAGUAACACGUGAGUAACCUGCCCCCGACUCUGGGAUAAGCCCGGGAAACUGGGUCUAAUACCGGAUAUUACCUUUGACCGCAUGGUUGUUGGUGGAAAGAUUUAUCGGUGGGGGAUGGACUCGCGGCCUAUCAGCUUGUUGGUGAGGUAAUGGCUCACCAAGGCGACGACGGGUAGCCGGCCUGAGAGGGUGACCGGCCACACUGGGACUGAGACACGGCCCAGACUCCUACGGGAGGCAGCAGUGGGGAAUAUUGCACAAUGGGCGAAAGCCUGAUGCAGCGACGCCGCGUGAGGGAUGACGGCCUUCGGGUUGUAAACCUCUUUCAGUAGGGAAGAAGCGAAAGUGACGGUACCUGCAGAAGAAGCGCCGGCUAACUACGUGCCAGCAGCCGCGGUAAUACGUAGGGCGCAAGCGUUAUCCGGAUUUAUUGGGCGUAAAGAGCUCGUAGGCGGUUUGUCGCGUCUGCCGUGAAAGUCCGAGGCUCAACCUCGGAUCUGCGGUGGGUACGGGCAGACUAGAGUGAUGUAGGGGAGACUGGAAUUCCUGGUGUAGCGGUGAAAUGCGCAGAUAUCAGGAGGAACACCGAUGGCGAAGGCAGGUCUCUGGGCAUUUACUGACGCUGAGGAGCGAAAGCAUGGGGAGCGAACAGGAUUAGAUACCCUGGUAGUCCAUGCCGUAAACGUUGGGCACUAGGUGUGGGGGACAUUCCACGUUUUCCGCGCCGUAGCUAACGCAUUAAGUGCCCCGCCUGGGGAGUACGGCCGCAAGGCUAAAACUCAAAGGAAUUGACGGGGGCCCGCACAAGCGGCGGAGCAUGCGGAUUAAUUCGAUGCAACGCGAAGAACCUUACCAAGGCUUGACAUGUGCCAGACCGCCUCAGAGAUGGGGUUUCCCUUCGGGGCUGGUUCACAGGUGGUGCAUGGUUGUCGUCAGCUCGUGUCGUGAGAUGUUGGGUUAAGUCCCGCAACGAGCGCAACCCUCGUUCCAUGUUGCCAGCACGUAAAGGUGGGGACUCAUGGGAGACUGCCGGGGUCAACUCGGAGGAAGGUGGGGAUGACGUCAAAUCAUCAUGCCCCUUAUGUCUUGGGCUUCACGCAUGCUACAAUGGCCGGUACAAUGGGUUGCGAUACUGUGAGGUGGAGCUAAUCCCUAAAAGCCGGUCUCAGUUCGGAUUGGGGUCUGCAACUCGACCCCAUGAAGUCGGAGUCGCUAGUAAUCGCAGAUCAGCAACGCUGCGGUGAAUACGUUCCCGGGCCUUGUACACACCGCCCGUCAAGUCACGAAAGUUGGUAACACCCGAAGCCGAUG
RNAcentral lists this ribosomal RNA (1328 nucleotides) under Arthrobacter sp. RNAcentral describes it as "bacterial SSU rRNA". It matches the Rfam family "Bacterial small subunit ribosomal RNA", at positions 92 to 1432 of the family's 1533-position model. The record is from RNAcentral. Lineage: Bacteria; Bacillati; Actinomycetota; Actinomycetes; Micrococcales; Micrococcaceae.